RNAcentral lists this long non-coding RNA (1016 nucleotides) under Arabidopsis thaliana (thale cress). RNAcentral's name for it is "potential natural antisense gene, locus overlaps with AT5G05430 (AT5G05435)". Lineage: Eukaryota; Viridiplantae; Streptophyta; Magnoliopsida; Brassicales; Brassicaceae. The record is from RNAcentral.
UAGUUAGCCCCAUAUGGUUCCUAUUAAGUAUCUUAGAGCAUCUCCAACGGGAGAAAAAUGGAGCUCUCAUGACAGUCUCUCUAAAUUAUUGUGGAAAAAAAUAAAUCAUAAAGGUUUAAUACUGAGAGAAUCGUUUCUCUUAAGAGAGAUUUUGGAGCUGAAGAGAGACGCAUACGUGUCGUUGUUUUUCAGUAUUUCUUUUUUUUUUCCGUUUUUUUUCUCUACUAUCAUCUUUUCACUGGGACUUUGAGGAUCAUUGGACUUACCUGAAACGAGCUGGCCGACGUUGAUUUCGGUAGGCUUAUCGGCUCUGAGAUUCAUGGAUUCCAUACUUUGCAAGAAUUUAGGGACAUUUUAGGUUGAUUAAGGGAUCUUGGCUUUGAUUUGAGAUACCCAUCUAACGUGAAGAAGCUAGUGAAGUAUAUUUCAACCCCACCUGUGGUAAAGUCUAAUCUUUGUGUUUCGAUAGUUUCCUUUACGGUGUUUUGUAUCUGACUAAUAUCACUUUUGAUGGCUAAUAGAGAGAGCUUCAGGGGAUAAUCCAUUUGGGUGGGUAUUUUUCUGGCUGUACCACUUGCAGUUUCUCAAAAGUGAGUGAAGGAACUCAUUUUGGUUGAUUAUACUCUGAGUGAAGGAACUCAUUUUCGUUGGUUCUGCUCUUCUAAGUGAAGAGGGCUUACAAGCUUGGAAAGCAAGUUUCCAACAGAGUAAUAUCAUGUCUGACCGGAACCAUACAACGGAACAUUCCACAUAUCGUUUUACAUUUCUAUUGACCUUGACCUUUAUGUUUUAAUUUGUCAAGAAGUCUACUGCAUUUCUAUUCUCUCCUAUCUCAUUCCUCUUUAUUUACUUGCUUUCACAUGGUAAGGAAUUGUGAAUAUAUGGUCUCAGCCUCUCAUGUUAGACAUUUCUUCUAUGAUUCUCAUUUUUUCUAUUGUGAAUAAUUUUUUUUCCAGACAACUCUUUUAAAAGAGACUUACCAUUGGACUAUGAAAAAUCUUUCAAAAAAAUCAGAA